UGGUAGUGUAUUGGACAACCAGUGGUAGUGUAUUGGACAACCAUGGCUCUCACGGGUAACGGGGAAUUAGGGUUCGAUUCCGGAGAAGGAGCCUGAGAAACGGCUACUACGUCUAAGGAUGGCAGCAGGCGCGUAAAUUACCCAAUCCUGACUCAGGGAGGUAGUGACAAGAUAUAACAACGCGACUAAAAAUCGCGAUUGUAGUGAGGGUUUUCCAAACCGAACCACUAGUACGAUUGGAGGGCAAGUCUGGUGCCAGCAGCCGCGGUAAUUCCAGCUCCAAUAGCGUAUAUUAAAGUUGUUGCAGUUAAAAAGCUCGUAGUUGGAUUUCAAGGGACGCAUGUGGAAACACGUUGCUCCCUACCAGUCUUAGACUGUUACUGUGAGAAAAUUAGAGUGUUUCAAGCAGGCUAUCGCAGGAAUACAUUAGCAUGGAAUAACGAGUGAGUCUAGAAUCUUGGUUAAUUCUAGAUUACGAUUAAUAGGGACAGUUGGGGGCAUUAGUAUUUAAUUGUCAGAGGUGAAAUUCUUGGAUUUGUUAAAGACUAACGUAUGCGAAAGCAUUUGCCAAGGAUGUUUU
RNAcentral lists this ribosomal RNA (580 nucleotides) under uncultured ciliate. RNAcentral's name for it is "SSU rRNA". It matches the Rfam family "Eukaryotic small subunit ribosomal RNA", at positions 296 to 970 of the family's 1831-position model. The record is from RNAcentral. Lineage: Eukaryota; Ciliophora.